GACGAACGCUGGCGGCGUGCUUAACACAUGCAAGUCGAACGGAAAGGCCCUGCUUUUGUGGGGUGCUCGAGUGGCGAACGGGUGAGUAACACGUGAGUAACCUGCCCUUGACUUUGGGAUAACUUCAGGAAACUGGGGCUAAUACCGGAUAGGAGCUCCUGCUGCAUGGUGGGGGUUGGAAAGUUUCGGCGGUUGGGGAUGGACUCGCGGCUUAUCAGCUUGUUGGUGGGGUAGUGGCUUACCAAGGCUUUGACGGGUAGCCGGCCUGAGAGGGUGACCGGCAAAAUGGGGGAUGGGAGACGGCCCGGGCCCCGGCGGGGGGCAGAGGUGGGGAAUGUUGGAAAAGGGGGGGAAGCCUGAAGCGGCACCGCCGGGGGGGGGAUGGCGGCUUUCGGGUUGGAAACCGCUUUCGCCUGUGACGAGGGGGGGGGGGCGGAAAUGGGGAAAGAAGCCCGGGAAAACUACGG
RNAcentral lists this ribosomal RNA (467 nucleotides) under uncultured bacterium. Its description in RNAcentral is "partial 16S ribosomal RNA". It matches the Rfam family "Bacterial small subunit ribosomal RNA", at positions 28 to 506 of the family's 1533-position model. The record is from RNAcentral.